UCAGGCCUAACACAUGCAAGUCGAACGGUAACGCGGGGCAACCUGGCGAAGAGUGGCGAACGGGUGAGUAAUGCAUCGGAACGUGCCCAGUAGUGGGGGAUAGCCCGGCGAAAGCCGGAUUAAUACCGCAUACGACCUACGGGUGAAAGGGGGGGAUCGCAAGACCUCUCGCUAUUGGAGCGGCCGAUGUCAGAUUAGGUAGUUGGUGGGGUAAAGGCCUACCAAGCCUACGAUCUGUAGCUGGUCUGAGAGGACGACCAGCCACACUGGGAGGGGGACACGGCCCAGACUCCUACGGGAGGCAGCAGUGGGGAAUUUUGGACAAUGGGC
RNAcentral lists this ribosomal RNA (330 nucleotides) under uncultured bacterium. RNAcentral's name for it is "bacterial SSU rRNA". It matches the Rfam family "Bacterial small subunit ribosomal RNA", at positions 43 to 376 of the family's 1533-position model. The record is from RNAcentral.